This 430-nucleotide ribosomal RNA is filed under the name uncultured bacterium. RNAcentral describes it as "bacterial SSU rRNA". It matches the Rfam family "Bacterial small subunit ribosomal RNA", at positions 8 to 441 of the family's 1533-position model. The record is from RNAcentral.
AGAGUUUGAUCCUGGCUCAGGACGAACGCUGGCGGCGUGCUUAACACAUGCAAGUCGAACGGUGAAGUCCCUUCGGGGGCGGAUCAGUGGCGAACGGGUGAGUAACACGUGGGCAAUCUGCCCCUCACUGUGGGAUAACUCCGGGAAACCGGGGCUAAUACCGCAUAUGAAGCCUGGCGGCAUCGCCGGGUUUGGAAAGUUUUUCGGUGAGGGAUGAGCCCGCGGCCUAUCAGCUUGUUGGUGAGGUAAUGGCUCACCAAGGCGACGACGGGUAGCCGGCCUGAGAGGGCGACCGGCCACACUGGGACUGAGACACGGCCCAGACUCCUACGGGAGGCAGCAGUGGGGAAUAUUGGGCAAUGGGCGAAAGCCUGACCCAGCGACGCCGCGUGCGGGAUGAAGGCCUUCGGGUUGUAAACCGCUUUCAGCA